UGCGCAGGCGGACUUUUAAGUCAGUGGUGAAAUCCCGAGGCUCAACCUCGGAACUGCCAUUGAUACUGGAAGUCUUGAAUUUGGUUGAAGUGGGCGGAAUGUAGCAUGUAGCGGUGAAAUGCUUAGAUAUGCUACAGAACACCGAUCGCGAAGGCAGCUCACUAAGCCAAUAUUGACGCUCAGGCACGAAAGCGUGGGUAGCAAACAGGAUUAGAUACCCUGGUAGUCC
This 229-nucleotide ribosomal RNA is filed under the name uncultured bacterium. Its description in RNAcentral is "partial 16S ribosomal RNA". It matches the Rfam family "Bacterial small subunit ribosomal RNA", at positions 568 to 796 of the family's 1533-position model. The record is from RNAcentral.